This 186-nucleotide ribosomal RNA is filed under the name uncultured Staphylococcus sp. Its description in RNAcentral is "partial 16S ribosomal RNA". It matches the Rfam family "Bacterial small subunit ribosomal RNA", at positions 154 to 334 of the family's 1533-position model. Lineage: Bacteria; Bacillati; Bacillota; Bacilli; Caryophanales; Staphylococcaceae. The record is from RNAcentral.
GGAACGGAGCUAAUACCGGAUAAUAUUUUGAACCGCAUGGUUCAAAAGUGAAAGACGGUCUUGCUGUCACUUAUAGAUGGAUCCGCGCUGCAUUAGCUAGUUGGUAAGGUAACGGCUUACCAAGGCAACGAUGCAUAGCCGACCUGAGAGGGUGAUCGGCCACACUGGAACUGAGACACGGUCCAG